CUCCUACGGGAGGCAGCAGUGGGGAAUUUUGGACAAUGGGGGAAACCCUGAUCCAGCCAUGCCGCGUGAGUGAAGAAGGCCUUCGGGUUGUAAAGCUCUUUCAGACGGAAAGAAACGGUCACGGCCAAUACCCGUGACUAAUGACGGUACCGUCAGAAGAAGCACCGGCUAACUACGUGCCAGCAGUCGCGGUAAUACGUAGGGUGCGAGCGUUAAUCGGAAUUACUGGGCGUAAAGCGUGCGCAGGCGGUGAUGUAAGACAGUUGUGAAAUCCCCGGGCUCAACCUGGGAAUUGCAUCUGUGACUGCAUCGCUAGAGUACGGUAGAGGGGGAUGGAAUUCCGCGUGUAGCAGUGAAAUGCGUAGAUAUGCGGAGGAACACCGAUGGCGAAGGCAAUCCCCUGGGAUAACACUGACGCUCAUGCACGAAAGCGUGGGGAGCAAACAGGAUUAGAUACCCUGGUAGUCCACGCCCUAAACGAUGUCAACUAGUUGUCGGGAGCUAUAUGCUUUUGGUAACGCAGCUAACGCGUGAAGUAGACCGCCUGGGGAGUACGGUCGCAAGAUUAAAACUCAAAGGAAUUGACGGA
RNAcentral lists this ribosomal RNA (589 nucleotides) under uncultured bacterium. RNAcentral describes it as "bacterial SSU rRNA". It matches the Rfam family "Bacterial small subunit ribosomal RNA", at positions 336 to 917 of the family's 1533-position model. The record is from RNAcentral.